ACGGAGGGUGCGAGCGUUGUCCGGAAUUACUGGGCGUAAAGCACGUGUAGGCGGUCUGUUAUGUCGGAUGUGAAAUCCCAAGGCUCAACCUUGGAACUGCGUUCGAAACUGGCAGACUUGAGUGCGGGAGGGGAUGGUGGAAUUCCCGGUGUAGAGGUGAAAUUCGUAGAUAUCGGGAAGAAUACCGGUGGCGAAGGCGACCAUCUGGCCCGCUACUGACGCUCAGACGUGAAAGCGUGGGGAGCAAACAGAAUUAGAUACUCUGGUAGUCCACGCUGUAAACGAUGGAUACUAGGUGUUGGGGGUAACAAUUCCCUCAGUGCCGUAGCUAACGCGUUAAGUAUCCCGCCUGGGAAGUACGGCCGCAAGGCUA
RNAcentral lists this ribosomal RNA (373 nucleotides) under uncultured bacterium. RNAcentral describes it as "bacterial SSU rRNA". It matches the Rfam family "Bacterial small subunit ribosomal RNA", at positions 525 to 896 of the family's 1533-position model. The record is from RNAcentral.